UAUAAACAGUGACUUAAGUAUAUUUAUGUUUAAUAGGAAAAUAUACCGCAUUUUUUAAUGUGUAUUAUGUAUUAAAUUUAUGAAAUUAUCUUUUUUUUAUUCUAUAUGUAUAAUGUCUAAAUUUGUUGUAAGAUGAAAGUUAAAUAUUUUUCAUCUAAUUUAUUAUUGUUAACAUAUAAACCAUACGAUGUGAAUGAAUUUUCUAUUUUAAAGGCAGAAUUGCAAGUUAAUACGCAGCAACUCUGUUAUCGGAUUGUUUAGAUGGUGAGUAAAACUUAGUACUUGCUUGAAAAUUGUAUACAAUAGUCCUGUCCAGACAUUUAAUAAGUAAUUUAUGGUAAUACAGUUUGUAAGCACAGAUUUUGUAUUUAUUUACAAUUUUUUUUAUUUGCACAUCGAAAGUAUCUUUAGUUCUUUGUUAAUUUUUUUAUGAAAAAUUGACGAACGGGUAGAAAGUAUCAAAGACAAUAUACAUAGGUGCAAUCAGAAUUUCAAAAUACAGAUGCCAUUAAACGAAAGAGACAAACCAAAUAACAUGUAUACGAACAAAAUAAAAGAGGAUAACUUGAUUGAAAAGCAAACGCACUUAACGUACUAUAAACAAAUUAGAAUCCAUGAAAACAGGAUAUGGGAAAAUUUUACAAGCCACAACAUUUUAUUGUCAACCACCUUUAAAAUUCUAAAAAAAUAUCCCAAAAAAAUUAUGUCCAUGUUGAUGAAUAGAGUAGUUCAUAAAUAGUGAGGUUACAGUCAUAUACAUUGAAUAGUUUAUAAUGCAUUAAUCUAUAUACGUUGUAUGUUUUACAAUGCUCAAUAUAAGCAACUUUGACCUCAAUACAACCUCUUUCUUUCUCUAACAUAAAAUAGAUGUUGGAUGAUUGACAAUUAGACAACCAUCUACAAUAUUUCAAACGACGAAGAUAUAAUCAUUUUUCCACACAAACAUCAGAUGAUCAGAGAAAAUGUGGAGGUGGGUUGGACAUUUGACGCUUCCUUUUCUCAAAUCUUAACAAAUAUCAAUAGCGUGUAUCAUUCGGAACUGAUAAACAGUAACAAUCAACAAUGAGUAAUACACAAUUAAUAGACUGUAAUUCAUAAUUUUUUUUCAGAUAAUUAUUUCACUUUAGCUACGAAUCAUACAAAAGGGACAACGUUUCAGAAAAGAAGGUAAUUAUUACUCAGUUUCAUAUAGAUUUAACAAACAAGGACAAAACUGAGUUUACAUAGCUUUUUCAACUGAUUUUUAUAGUUCGUUCUUAUGCUGCACUGGUAUACUACUGUCCCAGGUUAGGGGAGGGUUGGAAUCCCGCUAACAUGUUUAACCACGCCACAUUAUUUAUGUAUGUGCCUGUCCCAAGUCAGGAGGCUGUAAUUCAGUGACUGUCGUUUGUUUAUGUGUUACAUAUUUGUUUUUCGUUCAUCUUUUUAUAUAAAUAAGGCCGUUAGUUUUCUCGUUUGAAUUGUUUCACAUUGUAAUAUCGGGGCAUUUUAUAGCUGACUAUGCGGUAUGGGCUAUGAUCAUUGUUGAAGGUCGUACGAUGACCUAUAGUUAUUAAUGUAUGUGUCAUUUUGGUCUCUUGUGGACAGUUGUCUCAUUGGCAAUCAUACCACAUUUUUUUUAUAUAUUUAUAUAGUCAUACAUAUUACUUUUUUCAAUCCACUACAAUGACAUUUCAACGGAAAGAAAUGCUAAUAAUCGAAUUCAGAACUUUCACUUUUGCACCUACUGAGACAAACUUUUGAGACAAAUGGAUAGCUUUACUAUUUUUGAGAAAAAAAUGUGUCAAAACAUGAAUGAAUAGAUUCACACUGUAACAGUUUCAUGCAUACCACGUAUUUAUUGCGUGUCGGUUUAAAUUUGCACCCAUAAUUCAAUAAAAAAAAAAACUGUUUGUUUUACUCGUGUACUAUAAAACACAACAUAACAUUCAUAAAACGAUACUGAUUGUUAUUUCCUGAAAAUAUAACCUGGUUUAUAUAAACAAAAUCAUUUUUACAGUUUUUUUUAUUUAUAAAAAAUGUUUAAAAGGCAAAAUAAAGUACGAAUAUAUUCUAAGUACAGCUGAAGUGAAAAUGCAUAAGUUGAGAUUAUGAAGAUGUAAGUCAAAUAUUAUUUCAAGAAUUACUAUUUACCGAACAUACAAUACUCAACGAACUAUACUUAUAUGAUGUAACUCCUUGAUACGAUAUGCGUCUAUUAAACUGCUCCGAAAUCAAUUAUAUACUUCCGAAGCCAUACUUUUCUUUUUAGUGGUAAUAAGAAUAAGAAAUGCUUCAUAACACAUUUUUUUUAUAUUUAUGACUUCUUUUCAAUCAUUUAAUCAUUUCAAAAUCAUGUAACAUAUUAACUAAAGAUUAAGUAUGUUUCCAAAUAUAUGUAUGUUGGGGUAUAAAAAUAGCACAAAUACAUGAAUGACGAAUUUACAUACUCAAGUAAAGGUGAUAAAAAGAUAUAUGUUUGUUGUGUGAAACUGGAUAUUGUUUAAAUUAAAUGUUCGAUGGUAGUAUUCAAAUAAUUAAACAAAAAUAAAAAUACACCAUAAAGUUGUUGAUAAAAUGCCUACUUUUACGUCAUUUGAUCUCUCAUUGAGAGUUAUAUAUCAUUGACAAUCAAACAACAUCUUCUUAUUGUCAUAGAGUUAACAAAAUCCUACCCAAUGAUAUUUUUCCAGAACAUUCCAUUACAAAACAUUAAAAUACGCAAUCCAGAACAGUUUUAUUAGAUUUUGACUGAUUUAUUUAACCCUCCAUAUUAAUAUAAAAUAACGAUGUAUCUAAUCAAUUAGAUAUGUGAUUUCAUAACUGUUAUUUUUCAGGGCAGCUGAAGAUCUACAUGUUGUCGAAAACCGCUCAGUGAUAAAGUUGGUCACUGUGACAUUGCCUUGAUGUUUUUUUUUAAUUUGUUACAAAUUUCAUAUUAGAGAAAGUAAGGAAGCGAACAGAUAUAGUAAACCUAGUUCACAUAACAUCUGAAGAUGUUUUUGCGUAUAGUAAAAAAAUGUUUACUUUGUAACUGGAAGAAAGAGUUUGAUCGUAAUAUCCAGAGAAGUGUGAGGGUCAAGUUGAAAAAGUUCCCUUUUAGGAAGGGCCAUAUAGAGAUAGUAUAUAGUUUGGAACUUACAAGUAUUUAUAUGCUUAGGUAGUUAUUUUUAAUGUAUAAUCUAUUGAAAGUGUAUAUAGAUUUUUAAAUUAUUUGAAAAAAUGUCAUUCCAAUGAUUGAUAAUGUAGUAAUUAUAAUAAUUAAGGAAUGACUGUAAUAUUUGUUCUGUCUAUGAAGGAAUAACAUCAAAAAUCUGGUGCACACUGAAUAAAGUGUGCACCACAUUUUAAUGUCAUUUCGAAUAGACAGAAAAAAAUUCUAUCAUUUCUUAUAAAUGAAUUCUAAAUUCCAAUUUAAACCGUAGUAAAUAUGAAAAUACGUCGAUGACGUCACGGUCACAUGACAAAAUUAUGUCUAUGAGCUGAUAAACAAAACAACGUCAGCCAAUCAGAAGACGCGUUAUAUCCAAAAUAUUUUUUUACGUAAUACUAGUAAUAACUGUUAUGACAGGUUUUGUCAAUGUAUUCGUCUGUUAGUUUUCAUUUUAUUAUCACUCAGAAUGAACGUUCAAUUUCUAUAUAUCGUUACCUUCAAAUUUAGACAAAUAUACCUUCAAAAUUCACGUAUAAUUUCGAUAACAGUAAGAACUGACAUAAUGAGCUUUAAUCUUAGAGGAAGACUACCUUUGUGAUUUGCUUUAUCAAUCGUGUUUCUUGUGUGUUUUCUUCGGUUAUUAAUAGUUAUGAAAUAAUAAGAUCACAUAUAUAUAUAUAUUGAACUCGGAGGAAAAUUCAAAAUGGAAAGUCCCUACAAUUUAGUUUUGAAUAACAGUGACAAAAUCAAAAGAUCCUUUACGACGGAACAAUAUUUUAAAUAAGUUUACUUUAAGUUCUCAUAACCUGUUUAUCUUCUCGUUGGCUAUAUACGGGGGAAAAAAUAAAACUAUAAAAGGUUACUUUUUUUCUUUUAAAUCAUUUGUGUUUUUUUUUCUUUCAAUUCAUUAGAACGUUCUCUUGCUAAUUUAUAAUAAUUAAAAUAACGUCCUUUCGGAAUUAGACAAACAUUGUUUUUAGUGUUUCCAGAGGUGACUUUUUGCAUACCUGUCUUAGACCGAGUACAUUUAAAAUUUAUAAUUCGAGACAAUGUAUAGUUUUCUUUACAUACUAGUACUGCACAUCCUAUAACUGCUCCAAAUGAAAUAUUUAGGGUAAAACCCAUCAUUUUGUUAAAUCAAAGCGGACGACGUAAAAUUUCCGCGUCCCCUUUAUUUGUUAUUGACGUGAAAAAUAAAAAUCAACGGAAACGCAUUGUCAACGCCAUUAACAAGGCAAAUGGAUAUAUAGUCAAUGCAAUUUGACUGCACAAAUAGCAAAGUUGCAAUAAAUAGGGACAUAUAUUCAGUCUUCAAAAAACAUUAGAAUAGCACCCUUUUUACUCAGGUGCAGUACUGUUCAAAAAUGAAAUAGGCGUUAAACGUGUCGAAAUGCUCCUCCCCUUUUUUAAUGUGUAAAAAAGGCACCUGAAGUCAGAACCCUUCUCCCUUUUAAUGUUUGAACACAGACACCCGACGUCUUUCUGCGAUUUUGCUGGUAUCUCCUAGUAAUUUUAAAAGUAAAUACGUUCACCGGUGAUAAAUUUUGACAUCGGAUUAAUUUUCACAGAAAUGAUAUCUAUAACUAUUUAGUAUCUAAGUUAUGUACAAUUGUGGUUCAAAUAUUGGAUAACGCCAUUGUUAUACUGUAUCUAACAAGUUCUUAACAGUAUUUUAUUUUCAUUUCAUUGAUAUCGUAUACGUUAU
This 4838-nucleotide long non-coding RNA is filed under the name Mytilus galloprovincialis (Mediterranean mussel). Lineage: Eukaryota; Metazoa; Mollusca; Bivalvia; Mytilida; Mytilidae. The record is from RNAcentral.